GGGGACAAAGUAUAAUUUUACGUCUCAGUUACAUUGAGAAGAUUCGCUUAUAGUGAUGUACCUAU
RNAcentral lists this transfer RNA (65 nucleotides) under Pleurobranchaea sp. TY-2016. Its description in RNAcentral is "tRNA-Val". The record is from RNAcentral. Lineage: Eukaryota; Metazoa; Mollusca; Gastropoda; Pleurobranchida; Pleurobranchidae.